Molecule: ribosomal RNA, 430 nt
Filed under: Pseudomonadota bacterium
Lineage: Bacteria; Pseudomonadati; Pseudomonadota
Description: Proteobacteria bacterium partial 16S ribosomal RNA
Rfam family: Bacterial small subunit ribosomal RNA
Source: RNAcentral
UGGGGAAUAUUGGACACUGGGGGGAACCCUGAUCCAGCCAUGCCGCGUGUGUGAAGAAGGCCUUAUGGUUGUAAAGCACUUUAAGCGAGGAGGAGGGUACUGGUAUUAAUACUACCAGGUACUGGACGUUACUCGCAGAAUAAGCACCGGCUAACUCUGUGCCAGCAGCCGCGGUAAUACAGAGGGUGCGAGCGUUAAUCGGAUUUACUGGGCGUAAAGCGUGCGUAGGCGGCUAAUUGAGUCGGAUGUGAAAUCCCCGAGCUUAACUUGGGAAUUGCAUUCGAUACUGGUUAGCUAGAGUGUGGGAGAGGAUGGUAGAAUUCCAGGUGUAGCGGUGAAAUGCGUAGAGAUCUGGAGGAAUACCGAUGGCGAAGGCAGCCAUCUGGCCUAACACUGACGCUGAGGUACGAAAGCAUGGGGAGCAAACAGG